AUUUGGUAUCUGAACUUUAAGUAAAGAAUAUACAUAUAUUCAAACUCAAAUUCGUAAUUUCCAGAAGCAUAUUGAAGAUGAAAAGAUGGUUAAGGAAAAUGGGAUUGAAUAAUAUUAAUUGGUUACCUCCUCCUCAUAUGGUUGCUGCUACACGCGCCGUUCCACGGCGCGUCAAACUCGUCGAUCUUGUUAUUGAAGUUCGUGAUGCGCGUAUACCAUUGUCCUCAGCGAAUGAAGAUUUGCAGCCUGUGCUUUGUGGGAAAAGACGGGUGAUUGCUCUUAAUAAGAAAGAUUUGGCCUACCCCAACAUCAUGCAUAGGUGGAUCCGAUAUUUCAAUUCAUGUAAACAAGAGUGCCUCCCAAUAAAUGCACACAGUAGAAGUUCUGCGCAAAAGCUUCUCGAUCUUGUGGAGCUUAAAUUGAAGGAAGUUAUUACAAGGGAACCUACUCUUUUUGUCAUGGUGGUUGGUGUUCCUAAUGUCGGAAAAUCAGCUUUAAUCAAUUCCAUCCAUCAAAUUGCAUUGUCUCGAUUUCCGGUGCAGGAGAAGAUGAAGAGGGCUACAGUGGGGCCUUUGCCUGGUGUUACUCAAGAUAUUGCUGGAUAUAAGAUUGCACAUCAACCUAGCAUAUAUGUGUUGGACACUCCAGGAGUGUUGGCUCCAAGUAUUCCAGACAUGGAAACAGGGUUAAAGCUGGCUCUAGCAGGGUCCAUCAAAGAUUCAGUAGUUGGUGAAGAGCGAAUUGUUCAAUACCUGUUGGCAGUUCUAAACACUCGAGGAACUCCUCUUCAUUGGAGAAACUUGAUUGGUAGGGAAUCUGAGGGCCUUCAUUAUGAGUUGGAUGACAAACCUGAAUAUAAUCUCAAGGAUCUUCUACCAAAAAGAAGGAAGCCGCCCAACAAAUCUGAUAUCUACUACAUAGAGGAUAUGGUCAGCGAAAUCCAACGCACGCUAUGCACCACACUCUCGGAGUUCGUUGGUAACUUGGAAGAUGAAGGUCAGUUGGAGACUUUGAUAGAUCAGCAGUUUGAAGCAUUGCAGACGGCUCUGAAGAUACCUUAUAAGGCAUUGGAGGCUCGCACGAUGGUGUCAAAAAAAUUUCUAACUCUAUUUAGAACAGACAAACUUGGUCCUUUCAUCCUGGAUGAUGUCCCUGAUGCAUCUGAUCCUGCAUCUUGAAACACCAUUUGAAAGAGAAAUUCCCGAGGACCAUAGGUGCACAAUUCAAAUUCGGUGGAUAAUGAGCCUGCCUUCUACCUUUCUCAAUUAAAUAUAAGGCUUUUGGCUAUGACACGAUUUGGAUCCGUGACGUGUGCCUAAAUCACAUAUCACGUGCUACGCUCCUAUUACUAGUCUGAUGCCUUAGGGUAGAUUGCUAUUAUUUAGUCAUGCAGAUGCAAUAUGUGAGUUGGAGACUUUGAUAGAUCAGCAGUUUGAAGCAUUGCAGACAGCUCUGAAGAUAUCUUGUAAGACAUCAGAGGCUCACAAGAUGGUGUCGAAAAAAUUCCUAACUCUAGUUAGAACAGGCAAACUUGGUCCUUUCAUCCUGGAUGAUGUUCCUGAUGCAUCUAAUUCUGCAUCUUGAAACACCAUUUGAAAGGUAUCAUCAAUGUUAAUAUGAUAAUUUUGUACCAUAGUUUUCUUGAAUAUUUCACCCCUUAUCAACACCAGCUUAGGUUUAUUAAUGUAGUAGUACUAGUUUGGAAGUUCUCUUUAAUAGACAUGUCUACACUAUUUUCCAUGAAUUA
This is an RNA transcript of Lycium ferocissimum, 1747 nucleotides long. It is a transcript of the gene named short integuments 2, mitochondrial, with no coding region annotated. NCBI's taxonomy places the organism in Eukaryota, Viridiplantae, Streptophyta, Magnoliopsida, Solanales, Solanaceae. The transcript has 10 exons. The record is from RefSeq and is a predicted model, not a curated record.